GAUGAACGCUGGCGGCGUGCCUAAUACAUGCAAGUCGAGCGAACAGACGAGGAGCUUGCUCCUCUGACGUUAGCGGCGGACGGGUGAGUAACACGUGGAUAACCUACCUAUAAGACUGGGAUAACUUCGGGAAACCGGAGCUAAUACCGGAUAAUAUAUUGAACCGCAUGGUUCAAUAGUGAAAGACGGUUUUGCUGUCACUUAUAGAUGGAUCCGCGCCGCAUUAGCUAGUUGGUAAGGUAACGGCUUACCAAGGCAACGAUGCGUAGCCGACCUGAGAGGGUGAUCGGCCACACUGGAACUGAGACACGGUCCAGACUCCUACGGGAGGCAGCAGUAGGGAAUCUUCCGCAAAGGGCGAAAGCCUGACGGAGCAACGCCGCGUGAGUGAUGAAGGUCUUCGGAUCGUAAAACUCUGUUAUUAGGGAAGAACAAAUGUGUAAGUAACUAUGCACGUCUUGACGGUACCUAAUCAGAAAGCCACGGCUAACCACGUG
This 497-nucleotide ribosomal RNA is filed under the name uncultured bacterium. Its description in RNAcentral is "partial 16S ribosomal RNA". It matches the Rfam family "Bacterial small subunit ribosomal RNA", at positions 28 to 507 of the family's 1533-position model. The record is from RNAcentral.